This 1095-nucleotide long non-coding RNA is filed under the name Triticum aestivum (bread wheat). RNAcentral's name for it is "long non-coding RNA (TAES_LNC025449)". The record is from RNAcentral. Lineage: Eukaryota; Viridiplantae; Streptophyta; Magnoliopsida; Poales; Poaceae.
GAGCCGCCGCCAUCAAUUCCUUUGAAAACUUGGAUAGAUAGAUUAGAUAGAUAUAUAGUGCACCAAAAUAGAAUAUAUUCAUAGGAAAAGUAAUGAAUACACCUGAUAUGCCAACUCCCAAGAAACUUUUGUGGUAAAAUAAAACUAACACAUACCAUGGCUAUCCAACAGUACAGAGUAGUCAGUUUAUCUAACAGCAGCAAAAGUGCACAACUUAUCAGUUUAAUACAUGAAAGAAUAUUUAAACUCCAACAAAACAUUUCAUAACCCCUCUUCUAACCCAUUUAGACAAGCUGUACUAAAUCGUACUAUAGCAACAACGACAAGGGAGCAUCAUUCAGCAGUAGCAACACACAUACCGAGGGCAUCAAUGCAGUUCACAUCUUGCGGGGAAUUCUCUGCUUAUUGCCCCUUCCUCCAGUUUGCAUGUGACAAAUUUCAAUGUAAAUUUUCCUAGAACUCUUGUAAAAAAGAGAGUGGCCCAAAUUAGAAUUUUAUCCCGAAAACUCUUAACUUUGCAUAAUAGAACAAAACUAAAAGUUUCAGAUCACAUCAUUAAAUAUCUUCAAGGAUAGAAAAAGAAAAGAAAAAAAAGGAACAAUGUAGUCUGUUGAUUUUCUAAUUUCAUUGAUCAGCAAGAAUGCUAUUUCAUUUUACAACAAAAGAAAGCAGAUACAAGUAGCUAGAUACAUCAACACUAUAAAUGGACAAACUGAACUGAAGACUACCUUGUGGUCCUUCCAAAAUUCUUUCACAACCCAAACCAUGAGAUAAAGUACAUCAAGGCUCUUACAGAAGACUUGCAACUAAAUUAUUAGUAAUUAUAUGAGCAUCCCUUUUUAGAGAUUUAGUAAGGAGAAAGAAGAGCAGUGGUACCGCAUCCUUUCUCUGGUCUCCAGGUUUAAGUGGAAUGGCGUUGCGGUUGCCGUUGUUGGAUACCUCCUACGUUUGUGCUUCUGCUCGUCUGGUGCCUAGCUCAACUCUAGGUAGCUCAAAUCUACCGAAAAACAGCUCAACAGCGUCUUGUCUCCCUGCUUGAUUACCACAAUUCAGUUCGAAAGCAAAAUCAGGUCAAGAUCACCCUGCAUAGUAGGA